UCUCCGUUGGUGAACCAGCGGAGGGAUCAUUAAAGAGUUGCAAAACUCCUAAACCAUUGUGAACAUUCCUACAACUUUGCUCCGCCGGGUCGGCCCCGGUCUCCGGGGUCCCCGGCCCUCACGGGCCCCCGCCGGAGGUACCUAACUAUUGAACUUUUAUGGCCACACUGAGUCUUUGUACUUAAUAAGUCAAAACUUUCAACAACGGAUCUCUUGGUUCUG
This 222-nucleotide unclassified non-coding RNA is filed under the name plant metagenome. Its description in RNAcentral is "partial contains small subunit ribosomal RNA, internal transcribed spacer 1, and 5.8S ribosomal RNA". The record is from RNAcentral.